AUCCGGCUGACGAGUCUCAAAUUGGAAGAAAUGUGCAUCCUGGAU
This 45-nucleotide non-coding RNA is filed under the name Schistosoma haematobium. The record is from RNAcentral. Lineage: Eukaryota; Metazoa; Platyhelminthes; Trematoda; Strigeidida; Schistosomatidae.